CGGGGCGUAGCUCAGGGGUUAGAGCAGUCGGCUCAUAACCGAUUGGUCGCUGGUUCGAACCCAGCCGCCCCGACCA
RNAcentral lists this transfer RNA (76 nucleotides) under Candidatus Saccharimonadota bacterium. Its description in RNAcentral is "Candidatus Saccharibacteria bacterium tRNA-Ile". It matches the Rfam family "tRNA". Rfam says of the family: Transfer RNA (tRNA) molecules are approximately 80 nucleotides in length. RNAcentral also lists the same sequence under 1 other name. The record is from RNAcentral. Lineage: Bacteria; Candidatus Saccharimonadota.